GAUGAACGCUGGCGGCGUGCCUAACACAUGCAAGUCGAACGGGCCUCUUCGGAGGCUAGUGGCAAACGGGUGCGUAACACGUAGGUAAUCUACCCAGAAGACGGGGACAACGGAUGGAAACGUCCGCUAAUACCCGAUGGCGUCGCGAGACGAAAGGCGCAAGCCGCUUGUGGAGGAGCCUGCGGCCUAUCAGGUAGUUGGUGGGGUAACGGCCUACCAAGCCAACGACGGGUAGGGGGUGUGAGAGCAUGACCCCCCACACGGGGACUGAGACACGGCCCCGACUCCUACGGGAGGCAGCAGUGAGGGAUCUUGGGCAAUGGGCGCAAGCCUGACCCAGCGACGCCGCGUGGAGGACGAAGGGCUUCGGCUCGUAAACUCCUUUUCCCGUGGACGAGAGCAGGACGGUACACGGGGAAUAAGUCUCGGCUAACUACGUG
RNAcentral lists this ribosomal RNA (440 nucleotides) under uncultured organism. RNAcentral describes it as "bacterial SSU rRNA". It matches the Rfam family "Bacterial small subunit ribosomal RNA", at positions 28 to 507 of the family's 1533-position model. The record is from RNAcentral.